GUAGGUGAACCUGCGGAAGGAUCAUUAUUGAAAUAAACCUGAUAAGUUGCUGCUGGUUCUCUAGGGAGCAUGUGCACACUUGUCAUCUUUGUAUCUUCACCUGUGCACCUUUUGUAGACCUGAGUAUCUCUCUGAAUGUUUUAGCACUCAGGAUUGAGGAUUGACUUUCUGUCUCUUCUUUACAUUUUCAGGUCUAUGUUUCUUCAUAUACCCUAAUGUAUGUUUAUAGAAUGUAAUUAAUGGGCCUUUGUGCCUAUAAAUCUAUACAACUUUCAGCAACGGAUCUCUUGGCUCUC
RNAcentral lists this unclassified non-coding RNA (296 nucleotides) under rhizosphere metagenome. Its description in RNAcentral is "partial ribosomal RNA internal transcribed spacer region". The record is from RNAcentral.